Molecule: ribosomal RNA, 753 nt
Filed under: Staphylococcus aureus
Lineage: Bacteria; Bacillati; Bacillota; Bacilli; Caryophanales; Staphylococcaceae
Description: partial 23S ribosomal RNA
Rfam family: Bacterial large subunit ribosomal RNA
Source: RNAcentral
AGGGCGCACGGUGGAUGCCUUGGCACUAGAAGCCGAUGAAGGACGUUACUAACGACGAUAUGCUUUGGGGAGCUGUAAGUAAGCUUUGAUCCAGAGAUUUCCGAAUGGGGAAACCCAGCAUGAGUUAUGUCAUGUUAUCGAUAUGUGAAUACAUAGCAUAUCAGAAGGCACACCCGGAGAACUGAAACAUCUUAGUAACCGGAGGAAGAGAAAGAAAAUUCGAUUCCCUUAGUAGCGGCGAGCGAAACGGGAAGAGCCCAAACCAACAAGCUUGCUUGUUGGGGUUGUAGGACACUCUAUACGGAGUUACAAAGGACGACAUUAGACGAAUCAUCUGGAAAGAUGAAUCAAAGAAGGUAAUAAUCCUGUAGUCGAAAAUGUUGUCUCUCUUGAGUGGAUCCUGAGUACGACGGAGCACGUGAAAUUCCGUCGGAAUCUGGGAGGACCAUCUCCUAAGGCUAAAUACUCUCUAGUGACCGAUAGUGAACCAGUACCGUGAGGGAAAGGUGAAAAGCACCCCGGAAGGGGAGUGAAAUAGAACCUGAAACCGUGUGCUUACAAGUAGUCAGAGCCCGUUAAUGGGUGAUGGCGUGCCUUUUGUAGAAUGAACCGGCGAGUUACGAUUUGAUGCAAGGUUAAGCAGUAAAUGUGGAGCCGUAGCGAAAGCGAGUCUGAAUAGGGCGUUUAGUAUUUGGUCGUAGACCCGAAACCAGGUGAUCUACCCUUGGUCAGGUUGAAGUUCAGGUAACACUG